UGGGGAAUUUUGGACAAUGGGCGAAAGCCUGAUCCAGCAAUGCCGCGUGAGUGAUGAAGGCCUUAGGGUUGUAAAGCUCUUUUACCAGGGAUGAUAAUGACAGUACCUGGAGAAUAAGCUCCGGCUAACUCCGUGCCAGCAGCCGCGGUAAUACGGAGGGAGCUAGCGUUGUUCGGAAUUACUGGGCGUAAAGCGUACGUAGGCGGUUAYUCAAGUCAGAGGUGAAAGCCCGGGGCUCAACCCCGGAACUGCCUUUGAAACUAGGUCGCUAGAAUCUUGGAGAGGUSAGUGGAAUUCCGAGUGUAGAGGUGAAAUUCGUAGAUAUUCGGAAGAACACCAGUGGCGAAGGCGACUCACUGGACANGUAUUGACGCUGAGGCCCGAAAGCGUGGGGAGCAAACAGGAUUAGAUACCCUGGUAGUCCACGCCGUAAACGAUGAUAACUAGCUGUCCGGGCACAUGGAGCUUGGGUGGCGCAGCUAACGCAUUAAGUUAUCCGCCUGGGGAGUACGGUCGCAGGAUUA
This 524-nucleotide ribosomal RNA is filed under the name uncultured Alphaproteobacteria bacterium. Its description in RNAcentral is "bacterial SSU rRNA". It matches the Rfam family "Bacterial small subunit ribosomal RNA", at positions 355 to 896 of the family's 1533-position model. The record is from RNAcentral. Lineage: Bacteria; Pseudomonadati; Pseudomonadota; Alphaproteobacteria.